GCUCACGUAGUUCAGCCUGGAUAGAAUGCUUCCCUCCUAAGGAAGAGGUCGUAGGUUCAAAUCCUACCGUGAGCG
Molecule: transfer RNA, 75 nt
Filed under: Candidatus Pacearchaeota archaeon
Lineage: Archaea; Nanobdellati
Description: tRNA-Arg
Rfam family: tRNA
About the family: Transfer RNA (tRNA) molecules are approximately 80 nucleotides in length.
Source: RNAcentral